GACGAACGCUGGCGGCGUGCCUAAUACAUGCAAGUCGAGCGCAGGAAAUCGACGGAGCCCUUCGGGGGGAAGUCGACGGAAUGAGCGGCGGACGGGUGAGUAACACGUAAAGAACCUGCCCUCAGGUCUGGGAUAACCACGAGAAAUCGGGGCUAAUGCCGGAUGGGUCAUCGGACCGCAUGGUCCGAGGAUGAAAGGCGCUUCGGCGGCGCCUGGGGAUGGCUUUGCGGUGCAUUAGCUAGUUGGUGGGGUAAUGGCCCACCAAGGCGACGAUGCAUAGCCGACCUGAGAGGGUGAUCGGCCACACUGGGACUGAGACACGGCCCAGACUCCUACGGGAGGCAGCAGUAGGGAAUCUUCCACAAUGGACGAAAGUCUGAUGGAGCAACGCCGCGUGAACGAUGAAGGCCUUCGGGUCGUAAAGUUCUGUUGUAAGGGAAGAACAAGUGCCGCAGGCAAUGGCGGCACCUUGACGGUACCUUGCGAGAAAGCCACGGCUAACUACGUGCCAGCCGCCGCGGUAA
Molecule: ribosomal RNA, 524 nt
Filed under: uncultured bacterium
Lineage: Bacteria
Description: partial 16S ribosomal RNA
Rfam family: Bacterial small subunit ribosomal RNA
Source: RNAcentral